UACGAAGGGGGCUAGCGUUGUUCGGAAUUACUGGGCGUAAAGCGCACGUAGGCGGACUGUCAAGUCAGGGGUGAAAUCCCGGGGCUCAACCUCGGAACUGCCUUUGAUACUGUCAGUCUAGAGUCCGGAAGAGGUGGGUGGAAUUCCUAGUGUAGAGGUGAAAUUCGCAGAUAUUAGGAAGAACACCGGUGGCGAAGGCGGCCCACUGGUCCGGUACUGACGCUGAGGUGCGAAAGAGUGGGGAGCAAACAGG
RNAcentral lists this ribosomal RNA (253 nucleotides) under uncultured bacterium. RNAcentral describes it as "partial 16S ribosomal RNA". It matches the Rfam family "Bacterial small subunit ribosomal RNA", at positions 524 to 776 of the family's 1533-position model. The record is from RNAcentral.